UACGUAGGUCCCGAGCGUUGUCCGGAUUUAUUGGGCGUGAAGCGAGCGCAGGUGGUUUAUUAAGUCUGGUGUAAAAGGCAGUGGCUCAACCAUUGUAUGCAUUGGAAACUGGUAGACUUGAGUGCAGGAGAGGAGAGUGGAAUUCCAUGUAUAGCGGUGAAAUGCGUAGAUAUAUGGAGGAACACCGGUGGCGAAAGCGGCUCUCUGGCCUGUAACUGACACUGAGGCUCGAAAGCGUGGGGAGCAAACAGG
RNAcentral lists this ribosomal RNA (252 nucleotides) under uncultured bacterium. Its description in RNAcentral is "partial 16S ribosomal RNA". It matches the Rfam family "Bacterial small subunit ribosomal RNA", at positions 524 to 776 of the family's 1533-position model. The record is from RNAcentral.